GUGCUUGCUUUGGCAGCACAUAUACUAAAGUCGGAAUGAUACAGAGAUUAGCACUGCCCCUGCGCAUGGAUGACACACAGACUCCUAAAGCAUUCCAUUUUUUU
Small nuclear RNA from Cervus hanglu yarkandensis (Yarkand deer), 104 nucleotides. Lineage: Eukaryota; Metazoa; Chordata; Mammalia; Artiodactyla; Cervidae. The record is from Ensembl.